RNAcentral lists this long non-coding RNA (444 nucleotides) under Eucalyptus grandis. RNAcentral's name for it is "long non-coding RNA (EGRA_LNC006901)". Lineage: Eukaryota; Viridiplantae; Streptophyta; Magnoliopsida; Myrtales; Myrtaceae. The record is from RNAcentral.
CGGAAUCCACGAGAAGCGCAGUCGUCGGAGAAGAAGCCAAAGGGGAGGGGUUCUCGAAAACACGUCUGUUUAGUGUUUAGUGUUUGUGUUUGGUGACUUGUUUGGAAAUUGAAACAAGGGUGUUAACGUGUUUCGGGUCGAACAAUGUUCCAACCCUAAACCCGGCCCGAAACAUGUAUUCUGCUUGUUUCAUGUUUGUUACCCGAACACGAAACACGUUUUAUAUUUGUUUCGUGUUCGGGUCGGGUCGGGUCGGGUCGGGUUUUUUUGACAUCCCUAAUUGUUACUGCUUUGCACCUCUGAAAUGUAAGGGCCAUCGCCGAAGGUCGUGACAAUCGCGAAAAAGGAGAGAGUCAUAAAGAGGAGCUUUUUAGCAUCGAAGGAACUCCUUGCAGAAGCCAUUAGAAAGGGUUUUGGGAAAAGGCGAGUGUGAGUUUGUAAGAG